Molecule: ribosomal RNA, 497 nt
Filed under: uncultured bacterium
Lineage: Bacteria
Description: partial 16S ribosomal RNA
Rfam family: Bacterial small subunit ribosomal RNA
Source: RNAcentral
GAUGAACGCUGGCGGCGUGCCUAAUACAUGCAAGUCGAGCGAACAGACGAGGAGCUUGCUCCUCUGACGUUAGCGGCGGACGGGUGAGUAACACGUGGAUAACCUACCUAUAAGACUGGGAUAACUUCGGGAAACCGGAGCUAAUACCGGAUAAUAUAUUGAACCGCAUGGUUCAAUAGUGAAAGACGGUUUUGCUGUCACUUAUAGAUGGAUCCGCGCCGCAUUAGCUAGUUGGUAAGGUAACGGCUUACCAAGGCAACGAUGCGUAGCCGACCUGAGAGGGUGAUCGCCCACACUGGAACUGAGCCACGCUCCAGACUCCUACGGGAGGCAGCAGUAGGGAAUCUUCCGCAAUGGGCGAAAGCCUGACGGAGCAACGCCGCGUGAGUGAUGAAGGUCUUCGGAUCGUAAAACUCUGUUAUUAGGGAAGAACAAAUGUGUAAGUAACUAUGCACGUCUUGACGGUACCUAAUCAGAAAGCCACGGCUAACUACGUG